This 254-nucleotide ribosomal RNA is filed under the name uncultured bacterium. Its description in RNAcentral is "partial 16S ribosomal RNA". It matches the Rfam family "Bacterial small subunit ribosomal RNA", at positions 524 to 776 of the family's 1533-position model. The record is from RNAcentral.
UACGUAGGGUGCGAGCGUUGUCCGGAAUUAUUGGGCGUAAAGAGCUCGUAGGCGGUGUGUCACGUCGGCCGUGAAAACCUGCAGCUUAACUGUGGGCGUGCGGUCGAUACGGGCAUCACUGGAGUUCGGCAGGGGAGACUGGAAUUCCUGGUGUAGCGGUGAAAUGCGUAGAUAUCCGGAGGAACACCGGUGGCGAAGGCGGCUUCCUGGACCGACACUGACGCUGAGGCGCGAAAGCUAGGGGAGCAAACGGG